GGCUGCCAAAGCAGAGCCUGCAAACUUAACUACUCGGCCACGGGGCCAGCCCCAAUAUAUACAUUUCUUUGUAUCCUUUAUAUUUUUUCUUCCAGGUUAAGCCAACACUUAAUGCCAUACAAAAUUGAAGUUUGCGGAAUUCAAAGAAAAGCUGCUGCUUUUACGAGCCGUGUGGGUAGGGAAUGCAUGGGUCACCGUCCACUGCCGGAGAAAUCUUUCUUGGCCCAAGAGGUGGCAGCAAAGGCUGGGGUUUCCACCUCCCACUCAGGGACUCUCCCAUCUUGAUCCAGGCUCAGGCAAGAGGCACAGACUUAUUACCACUCUCAUCAUUCCUGUCUGUCGGAAGGCAGAGGAUGUGGGGGCAGGGGGGUUCCUGGAAGAGAGCAGCCGCCCCACCCUUGUCGACUUGCAUCAUGUUGGUUCUGAGGAAAAGGCGAAUGUUUUUUGAGGUGACCUCACCACCUCACCUAAGGCUGAGGCUGGGACUGACGUGUCGACGAGCGACCUAAAGCCUCGAGGACGAGAAGGAAAGGCAAGGUCCCAGCUCACCCACGUGUUGGGUGACACUUUCAAGGACACAAUUACCCCAGCCUCAGCCAGAGGAGGCGAGCGUGUAGAACUGUGAGGAUGGACAACUGAAAACCAAAACUCAGCAGGACCAAACCAAAACUCCACUCCUGUGGUUCUUACUUUCACCACAGGAUUGAUUCUGACCAAGAAGGGAAGGAGAACAAUCUUCAAAAUCAAAGAGUCAGAAAGGGAGAAACUCAACCUUCUGCACAAAGGGGUAAUCAGUUCUCCAAAGCAGAACAAUUCUCAUUGGACACAGCGGUUGCAGGAAAAAACCAUCUGAUUCGUUUAUACGAUUAAACCAUCUGAUUCACCUAUGCAUAAGAAGGAAACAGACACGUGCUGUUCUGACCUUACAACCACAUCCGCUCUGCACAUUCCCGCUCCUUGCCUCACUCUCAUGGAUUAAUGGGGGGCUGAUGGAUCUGAAAGGUGUGGGUGAAUUGGAACAGGGACCUCUGAGUGAAAAAUACUUCUAGGGGAAGGAGAGCACCAUUUAAAAAACAAAAUAAAACAGAGAUCAGGGGCGAUCCUGGUGGCGUAAUGGUUAAGUUCACAGCCUCCCCUUCAGCGCCAGGGGUUCUGGGUUUGGAUCCAGCACGGACUUACACACUUCUCAUCAAGCCAUGCUGUGGGGGCAUCCCACAUACAAAAUAGAGGAGGAUUGGCACAGAUGUUAGCUCAUGGACAAUCUUCCUCAAGCAAAAAAGGGGAAGAUUGGCAACAGAUGUUAGCUCAGGGCCAAUCUUCCUCACCAAAAAAUAAAAUAAAAUAAAAUAAAAAAUAGCAC
This 1360-nucleotide long non-coding RNA is filed under the name Equus caballus (horse). RNAcentral describes it as "lncRNA (ENSECAG00000052274.1)". The record is from RNAcentral. Lineage: Eukaryota; Metazoa; Chordata; Mammalia; Perissodactyla; Equidae.